Molecule: long non-coding RNA, 838 nt
Filed under: Pongo abelii (Sumatran orangutan)
Lineage: Eukaryota; Metazoa; Chordata; Mammalia; Primates; Hominidae
Description: lincRNA
Source: RNAcentral
CUCCCACCCACUCCUGCCCGUCUGUCUUCUGCCAUGGGAUGAUGCAGUAAGAAGGCCCUCGCCAGAUGCUGGCGCCUUGAUCUUGGACUUCUCAGCCUUCAGAACUAGAACACCACCACUAAUGGGAAAACUGCCCCCUGACCAGCACAUGGCCUCAGCAUUCAUCCACAGAUGCUCCUCAAAUUGUUUUAAAAACUGCUUUUUUUUAAAGCUGUUUGUCUAUGAAGAUUAAAUGAGUUAAUAAUAUAAGCAAAGCACUUAGCAUGGCUACUGGGUGCGGUGGCUCACGCCUGUAAUUCCAGCAUUUUGGGAGGCUGAAGCAGGUGGAUCACCUGAAGUCAGGAGUUCAAGACCAGCCUGACCAACAUGGCGAAACCCUGUCUCUAUUAAAAAUUCAAAAAAAUUAGCCGGGCGUGGUGGCACGUGCCUGUAAUCCCAGCUACUUGGGAGGCUAAGGCAGGAGAAUCGCUUGAACCUGGGAGGCAGAGGUUGCAGUGAGCCAAGAUCUCGCCAUUGCACUCCAGCGUGGUUGACAGAGCAAGACUCUGUCUCAAAGAACAAAAAAACCCAGCUUUUGUCCAGAGGUUGCUUUUUGUGGGUCUGUACGCUGAGGCCAAGUUCUAUGUAAGCAGAGCCCUCCCACCUCACCUCCAAACAAUGCCUCUAAACCAUCACAAUCUGAAAGGAAAAUAAAUCCCUUUCUUCAAUGGUGACCUGAAGCUAGCCAAGAGCCGGGUGCUGGCAGGUGGCCUGAGAGACUGGGUCAGAUCCCGGGUUACUGUCUGAGGAGGGGUGCCGUGCUGUAAGGGUUGGAGAGCCAGUGUCUGGCUUCCUUGUC